GCAGGAACUGGUCCCGGAACUUGGAGUGAGCGGCCUGUGGGCGGGGAGAGAGAGGCUUUUCUCGGGCUGUGUGUGGGCCUGUUGAGGGAGACACAGCGGCAAGAAGCUGCUGCUGGGGGUCAGGCUUGUAGCUUUUAGUCUUCUAAACACUGAUGGAAAGCUUUUGUGCUCCUGAGAUGCUGCUUGGCCUGCUGUGUUCAUCCAGCCUCACAUUUUAUUAUCUUGGAAUCUCCAGCAUCUGCAGUUCCCAUUAUCUCUGGAAAUUCAUUGUUCGGCUUCAAUUUCGCGCUGUUUUUGGACAUAGUGCCGUGAACAGUGGAAACACAGACUAGAGGCAUGUUAUAACCCUGAAAAGGACAGUUAAUUGAGUCCCUAGGUUAAAUUUCUCACCUGAAAUAUUUAAAAUAGCGCCCUUUGUUCUUCCUUUUCACAGAUAGUGUGUUGGGAGCCGGAUAUUGAACUGUGUAUGUAUGCAUGCCUGCUCCUUCGGAUAGCCCCAUUUAUGAAAGUACAGUUGUUGCUCAGUUUCUGGACCUCACUCAUGUGAUUUCGAAUUAUUUCAGGAAAAAAAGUACAAUGAGAAUCCCCAGAAAAGGAGCAGAUCUGGAGAACAGAGAACAAAGCCUCUGGUUCUGUUCAAUUUGUUAGUUUUCUUCUUUUAAAAACAAACACACGUCCCAAUGAUUAUGAACUUAAUGUUAUGUUGAUUACUUCAAUACGGUCAGACUUUCUGUAUGUUGACUUCCUCCAGGCAAAUACUUGAAGGACCAGGAUGAUGUUCUAUUUCCUCGGUGCAAAGCCAAGUCUGACCAGUUACUGCUAACAAUCAGCAGGAUGUGGCAAGUGGAUGCCAAUCUCAAAAUAUCCUUCAAUGGAUCAACGUGCUCAGCCUGAAGGCAAUGAGGAGUUUGCAAAGGGUUAGGAGUCACGUGCAGAGCAGAUCAGAUCAUGGUCAAUUCACCACAGUCUUACCAGAUCAUUAGAGCUGCUGUCCCGUUGGAGAGAGGGGAUUGGAUGGUGAUGGAACCUGAGGGUCACUGCGCCUCAGGUGAUGGAGAGAUUCAAAAGGAGAGUCCUUCACGGUAACCCCAUCCGGUGUAUGAAUUGAACCCACGCUGUUACCAAUCUAAUGCAUCACAAAGCAGCCAUCGAGGAAAGCCCCCCCUCCCCCUAACCACGUCCACUUCUGAGACAGGAAUAGUCGCUGAUCUGGAGAGUGGUUGUAAUUACAAAACAAAUAGCCUUGCCCCUCUCCCCACCCCAACGUCAUUGGAGAUAAAGAGCUUUGUAAUGAUACUGUAGCUUUAAGAGAUUAUUUUGUCCUGGUUUCUUUUGAGAGAGAGAUUGAAUGAGAGGUGUCGAGCUCGCUGGUGAAGACCGCUUGACUAAACAGCUUGAGUUUUAUUUUGUCCAGGCUGAAUGAGUGUGGCCAGCUCUCAGAUCAGGAUUUCUCGGUUUUGUUUCAUUUCACGUGCAUCUGAAGCUGUUGGGGUCUCAAAUGCCUUUGAAGCUUCAGUGGAUGUCUCCCGGCUCCUGCUGUCUCUGUAUUUUCUGUUGACUCUUUACCCUCCUGGAUUGGAGUUCUGCACGUGAGAACCUGUGUCUCAAUUUUACAUGUUUGUCAAGGAGUGUGUUUAUGGGAUGUUACUAUUUUGAAUCAGUUAAUUAGCAAUAGUUACUGUAUCUACUGUUCUGUUACAUUUCCAACAGAGUUAAGUUAUUCUUAUUUCUUCCUUCUUUUGUUGCAUUUGAACUGUCGUGUUUAAAUCCAUUGUUUUGUUUAACAUUGAGUUGUUUGCCCAAUUGCAUUGCAUCUGAAACAAGCACUUCACGUUCGCUUUUAAAAAUAAAG
Molecule: long non-coding RNA, 1852 nt
Organism: Stegostoma tigrinum
Lineage: Eukaryota; Metazoa; Chordata; Chondrichthyes; Orectolobiformes; Stegostomatidae
Exons: 3
Source: RefSeq, a predicted model, not a curated record